Molecule: ribosomal RNA, 378 nt
Filed under: uncultured bacterium
Lineage: Bacteria
Description: bacterial SSU rRNA
Rfam family: Bacterial small subunit ribosomal RNA
Source: RNAcentral
GACGAACGCUGGCGGCGUGCUUAACACAUGCAAGUGGAGCGACGAACCGGGGCUUGCCCCGGGGCAGAGCCGCGAACGGGUGAGUAACACGUGGGUAACCCACCCGAUGAUUGGGACAACCCGAGGAAACUCGGGCUAAUACCAAAUGUGCCCUUGGUCCAUGAGGACCUCGAGUAAAGAUAGCUUCGGCCUUCGCAUCGGGACGGGCCCGCGGCCCAUUAGCUUGUUGGUGAGGUAACGGCUCACCAAGGCGACGAUGGGUAGCUGGUCUGAGAGGACGAUCAGCCACACUGGGACUGAGACACGGCCCAGACUCCUACGGGAGGCAGCAGUGGGGAAUCUUGCGCAAUGCGCGAAAGCGUGACGCAGCAACGCCGC